Molecule: non-coding RNA, 99 nt
Organism: Xyrichtys novacula (pearly razorfish)
Lineage: Eukaryota; Metazoa; Chordata; Actinopteri; Labriformes; Labridae
Source: the annotation of a GenBank genome assembly
GCACUGGUUUAGCUCAGUGGUUACUUCGAACUAAUUCUAUUUGAAUACAGCUCUCCAUCCCACACCGGGAUCGAACCACGGGCGCUGUCCAGUGUUUUG